RNAcentral lists this ribosomal RNA (399 nucleotides) under Cophonemobius faustini. RNAcentral describes it as "partial 12S ribosomal RNA". Lineage: Eukaryota; Metazoa; Arthropoda; Insecta; Orthoptera; Trigonidiidae. The record is from RNAcentral.
UAUUAUAGAAUGUGAAAAAUGAAAAACUGAAGUAGUAAAAGUUAUGGUCUUAAAAUUUAAAGAAUUUGGCGGUGUUUUAGUCCUUUCAGAGGAAUCUGUUCUGUAAUUGAUGAUACACGAGUGGAGUGACUUAAUUUGGUGAUCAGCUUGUAUACCGCCGUCGAAAUGAAUAUUUUAGUGAGGAAGAUAAAUUUCUGGAAAAAUUAUUGUUUGUUAUGUCAGGUCAAGGUGCAGUUUAUGGUUAAGAAGAAAUGGAUUACAAUAUAAUGAUAUAUUUUAUGGAGUUAUUGUUAAAUAAGUUAUAUGAAGGUGGAUUUGAUGGUAAAUUGAUUUACUGAUUGAUUGAUUAGGGCUCUAAAGCAUGUACACAUCGCCCGUCGCUCUCGUUUGUGAUAUGAG